RNAcentral lists this ribosomal RNA (423 nucleotides) under uncultured bacterium. Its description in RNAcentral is "bacterial SSU rRNA". It matches the Rfam family "Bacterial small subunit ribosomal RNA", at positions 355 to 775 of the family's 1533-position model. The record is from RNAcentral.
UAAGAAAUAUUGGUCAAUGGGCGCAAGCCUGAACCAGCCAUGCCGCGUGCAGGAAGACGGCCCUAUGGGUUGUAGACUGCUUUUGUCAGGGAAUAAACCCCCGCUCGUGAGCGGGGCUGAAGGUACCUGAAGAAUAAGCAUCGGCUAACUCCGUGCCAGCAGCCGCGGUAAUACGGAGGAUGCAAGCGUUAUCCGGAUUCAUUGGGUUUAAAGGGUGCGCAGGCGGAUUGGUAAGUCAGGGGUGAAAUCCCACAGCUCAACUGUGGAACUGCCUUUGAUACUGUCAGUCUAGAGUAUAGUUGAAGUGGGCGGAAUGUGUCAUGUAGCGGUGAAAUGCUUAGAUAUGACACAGAACACCGACCGCGAAGGCAGCUCGCUAAGCUAUAACUGACGCUCAUGCACGAAAGCGUGGGGAUCAAACAG